UGGGGAAUAUUGCACAAUGGGGGAAACCCUGAUGCAGCGACGCCGCGUGAAGGAAGAAGUACCUCGGUAUGUAAACUUCUAUCAGCAGGGAAGAAAAUGACGGUACCUGACUAAGAAGCCCCGGCUAACUACGUGCCAGCAGCCGCGGUAAUACGUAGGGGGCAAGCGUUAUCCGGAUUUACUGGGUGUAAAGGGAGCGUAGACGGAAGAGCAAGUCUGAUGUGAAAGGCUGGGGCUUAACCCCAGGACUGCAUUGGAAACUGUUGUUCUAGAGUGCCGGAGAGGUAAGCGGAAUUCCUAGUGUAGCGGUGAAAUGCGUAGAUAUUAGGAGGAACACCAGUGGCGAAGGCGGCUUACUGGACGGUAACGGACGUUGAGGCUCGAAAGCGUGGGGAGCAAACAGG
Molecule: ribosomal RNA, 404 nt
Filed under: Acidobacteriota bacterium
Lineage: Bacteria; Pseudomonadati; Acidobacteriota
Description: Acidobacteria bacterium partial 16S ribosomal RNA
Rfam family: Bacterial small subunit ribosomal RNA
Source: RNAcentral